This 497-nucleotide ribosomal RNA is filed under the name uncultured bacterium. Its description in RNAcentral is "partial 16S ribosomal RNA". It matches the Rfam family "Bacterial small subunit ribosomal RNA", at positions 28 to 507 of the family's 1533-position model. The record is from RNAcentral.
GAUGAACGCUGGCGGCGUGCCUAAUACGUGCAAGUCGAGCGAACAGACGAGGAGCUUGCUCCUCUGACGUUAGCGGCGGACGGGUGAGUAACACGUGGAUAACCUACCUAUAAGACUGGGAUAACUUCGGGAAACCGGAGCUAAUACCGGAUAAUAUAUUGAACCGCAUGGUUCAAUAGUGAAAGACGGUUUUGCUGUCACUUAUAGAUGGAUCCGCGCCGCAUUAGCUAGUUGGUAAGGUAACGGCUUACCAAGGCAACGAUGCGUAGCCGACCUGAGAGGGUGAUCGGCCACACUGGAACUGAGAUACGGUCCAGACUCCUACGGGAGGCAGCAGUAGGGAAUCUUCCGCAAUGGGCGAAAGCCUGACGGAGCAACGCCGCGUGAGUGAUGAAGGUCUUCGGAUCGUAAAACUCUGUUAUUAGGGAAGAACAAAUGUGUAAGUAACUAUGCACGUCUUGACGGUACCUAAUCAGAAAGCCACGGCUAACUACGUG